This 1061-nucleotide long non-coding RNA is filed under the name Cricetulus griseus (Chinese hamster). RNAcentral describes it as "lncRNA (ENSCGRG00015031371.1)". The record is from RNAcentral. Lineage: Eukaryota; Metazoa; Chordata; Mammalia; Rodentia; Cricetidae.
CAAUAAUCAACAAGAUGAACAUACACAGUACAUUCCCCAUCAGAGCAUGAACAGAAAUUCAUGGCCAGCUCAAGCAGUUCUCUGUCUGUCAGUGGUUCAGGAGGAUGAGAAGACACUCAGAGCCACGGCUGGAGAAGCAUGGCCUCCUGUUCUCAGUCUGGAAAGCUAAAACAAGCACAGAAUACUAGAACACUAAAAAGUUUCUUCUUAAAAAGAACAAAUGGAAUACCUGCCCACAGUCACUGGUGCAAAAGGUGUGCUCCCUGCCAAGGCCAAGCAAGUCCAGCAGUGUGACUCAAUAUGGAAAAGGCAAGACAUGGUUCAGAAGCUGAUCAAUAAAAGAGCAUCAGACAAAAGUAUAUACUUCAAUAAGAGAAACUAAUUGUAAUCAGAUAAAAUGUGACAUUAAAUAUGAAAAAGAUAUAAUGUAGGGUUUCCUAAUAUUAGGGUUCCAUCUCUUUCUGGUCCCUCUCCCUUCUUUGGGAUGCCCCAGGUCGGAUACCACCACCCCCAGGGACACUACAUCCGUGUGGGACAGAGACUCAGUAAGCUACCUCAUGCUCCCCUUCUUAGCCUCUCCAUUGAGCUGCUCAUUCAUUUGCCCUGCUAAGGAUUGUCACCACCCCCUUGCCUUCCCUUUGAAAUUCCCCAGUUUCCAGCCUAUGCCCCACAAGGGACUCUCCAGCCACAUGACAGGAAGACAAAGCAUCCCCUCCCUCUGAGACUCACCAGCAUCCUGCCGGCUGCCUGACUAGGAUUCUCUAGUUGCACUGUCUGGCCUUGAGAACAACAACCAGUCCACCCCACCAGGGGAAACUUGUUUCAAGCUGCUUAACCAAGGCAGGGGAGGCAUCAGGCUGUAGCUGAUAUGCAGAAGAACUGGGUAGCCCCAGAUACCCGAGAAAAAGAAGAAAUCAACACCCAACCCCUGCUGAGACUUAGCCGCCAUCUGAACACUGUAAGCAUCACCGCUUAAACAAACAUGGGCAUUUGAAGACAAAAGAAAUUUUUAAAAGUCAACGAACAAACUUACUCUGAAAAUGAAAAUCUCAACAUCGAAG